GACGAACGCUGGCGGCGUGCCUAACACAUGCAAGUCGAACGAGAUCCAUGGGAGCUUGCUCCCGGAAGAUCUUGUGGCGAACGGGUGAGUAACACGUGAGAAACCUGCCCUGGAGUGGGGAAUAACUCGGGGAAACUCGAGCUAAUACCGCAUACCCUCGGAUGGUCGCAUGGCCGACCGAGGAAAGAUUUAUCGCUCUAGGAGGGUCUCGCGGCCUAUCAGCUAGUUGGUGGGGUAACGGCCUACCAAGGCAACGACGGGUAGCUGGUUUGAGAGAACGAUCAGCCACACUGGGACUGAGACACGGCCCAGACUCCUACGGGAGGCAGCAGUGGGAAUCUUGCGCAAUGGGCGAAAGCCUGACGCAGCAACGCCGCGUGCGGGAUGACGGCC
RNAcentral lists this ribosomal RNA (393 nucleotides) under uncultured bacterium. RNAcentral's name for it is "bacterial SSU rRNA". It matches the Rfam family "Bacterial small subunit ribosomal RNA", at positions 28 to 416 of the family's 1533-position model. The record is from RNAcentral.